AAGUACAGCCAUAUCACCCUGCAGGCUGCAGCCCAUGACUCACUGAAACUAAGCAGGGCUGAGCCUGGCCAGUAUCUGAAUGGGAGGACACAUGGGAAAGUUAGGUCGCUGUUGGAA
Molecule: ribosomal RNA, 117 nt
Filed under: Danio rerio (zebrafish)
Lineage: Eukaryota; Metazoa; Chordata; Actinopteri; Cypriniformes; Danionidae
Source: RNAcentral